UUUCCGGUUGAUCCUGCCGGAAGUUACUGCUAUUGGUGUUCGACUAAGCCAUGCAAGUCAUAUGUUCCUCGUGAACAUGGCAUACUGCUCAGUAACACGUGGAUAACCUGCCCUUGGGUCUGGGAUAACCCCGGGAAACUGGGGAUAAUACAGGAUAACGCAUAUGUGCUGGAAUGCUUUAUGCGUAAAACGGAUUCGUCAGCCCAAGGAUGGGUCUGCGGCCUAUCAGGUAGUAGUGGGUGUAAUGUACCUACUAGCCAACAACGGGUACGGGUUGUGAGAGCAAGAGCCCGGAGAUGGAUUCUGAGACAUGAAUCCAGGCCCUACGGGGCGCAGCAGGCGCGAAAACUUUACAAUGCGGGAAACCGUGAUAAGGGAACACCGAGUGCCAGCAUCAUAUGCUGGCUGUCCAGAUGUGUAAACUACAUCUGUUAGCAAGGGCCGGGCAAGACCGGUGCCAGCCGCCGCGGUAACACCGGCGGCCCGAGUGGUGACCGUUAUUAUUGGGUCUAAAGGGUCCGUAGCCGGUUUGGUCAGUCCUCCGGGAAAUCUGAUAGCUUAACUGUUAGGCUUUCGGGGGAUACUGCCAGGCUUGGAACCGGGAGAGGUAAGAGGUACUACAGGGGUAGGAGUGAAAUCUUGUAAUCCCUGUGAGACCACCUGUGGCGAAGGCGUCUUACCAGAACGGGUUCGACGGUGAGGGACGAAAGCUGGGGGCACGAACCGGAUUAGAUACCCGGGUAGUCCCAGCCGUAAACUAUGCUCGCUAGGUGUCAGGCAUGGCGCGACCGUGUCUGGUGCCGCAGGGAAGCCGUGAAGCGAGCCACCUGGGAAGUACGGCCGCAAGGCUGAAACUUAAAGGAAUUGGCGGGGGAGCACAACAACGGGUGGAGCCUGCGGUUUAAUUGGAUUCAACGCCGGG
RNAcentral lists this ribosomal RNA (922 nucleotides) under uncultured Methanosarcina sp. RNAcentral's name for it is "bacterial SSU rRNA". It matches the Rfam family "Archaeal small subunit ribosomal RNA", at positions 1 to 922 of the family's 1478-position model. The record is from RNAcentral. Lineage: Archaea; Methanobacteriati; Methanobacteriota; Methanomicrobia; Methanosarcinales; Methanosarcinaceae.